CUUCAGUGAUCUGGGAGUGUUUAUAGUGCUGUGACUUUAACACUUCAUGACUGAGAGCUGCUGCUACAGCAACUUCACCCACAGCUACCAUGACUUUGAUCCCCGUCUUCAUCUGGACACUGAUCCUCUGGACUCAAGAAUGCAGAGGUCAAGCCACAGUAACUCAGACUCCUGCAGUGAAAUCUGUUCUUCCAGGAGAAACAGUCACCAUCAACUGUAAAACCAGUCAGGCAGUGUACAGAGACUCGAAUGGUGACCGUUUACACUGGUAUCAACAGAAACCUGGAGAAGCUCCUAAACUCCUGAUUAAAUAUGUAAAUCAGAGACAGUCAGGUUUUCCAGCUCGUUUCAGUGGCAGUGGAUCUGGAUCUGAUUUCACUCUGACCAUCAGUGGAGUCCAGACUGAAGAUGCAGGAGAUUACUACUGUCAGAGUUACCAUUCCAUCACUGGCUACUGGUUCACACAGUGUUAUAGAGUCGUACAAAAACCUCCCUCAGUCAGAUUGUAGAGAGACUGAACUGCUGCAGCUGGGAGCGACUGCAGGUGCUGAGUUGGAGGAUGUGAUACGACACAAUGACACUCUGUGGAGGA
Tachysurus fulvidraco (yellow catfish) is the source of this 592-nucleotide non-coding RNA. Lineage: Eukaryota; Metazoa; Chordata; Actinopteri; Siluriformes; Bagridae. The record is from the annotation of a RefSeq genome assembly.